AUGGCUCAGGAUGAACGCUAGCGGCAGGCUUAACACAUGCAAGUCGAGGGGCAUCGGGAGUAGCAAUACUUGCCGGCGACCGGCGCAAGGGUGCGUAACGCGUGAGCAACAUGCCCGUAUCAGGGGGAUAAUCCAUGGAAACGUGGUCUAAUACCCCAUAGUAAUUAUGUAAGGCAUCUUAUAUAAUUUAAAGCUUUGGUGGAUACGGAUUGGCUCGCGUGACAUUAGCUAGAUGGUAAGGUAACGGCUUACCAUGGCUACGAUGUCUAGGGGUUCUGAGAGGAAGGCCCCCCACACUGGAACUGAGACACGGUCCAGACUCCUACGGGAGGCAGCAGUGAGGAAUAUUGGACAAUGGAUGGAAAUCUGAUCCAGCCAUGCCGCGUGCCAGGAAGACGGCCCUAUGGGUUGUAAACUGCUUUUGUAUGGGAGCAAUAAGGGCUACGCGUAGUCCGAUGAGAGUACCAUACGAAUAAGCACCGGCUAACUCCGUGCCAGCCGCUGC
This 505-nucleotide ribosomal RNA is filed under the name uncultured bacterium. RNAcentral describes it as "bacterial SSU rRNA". It matches the Rfam family "Bacterial small subunit ribosomal RNA", at positions 19 to 518 of the family's 1533-position model. The record is from RNAcentral.